Long non-coding RNA from Helianthus annuus (common sunflower), 633 nucleotides. RefSeq lists it as uncharacterized. The record is from RefSeq and is a predicted model, not a curated record. NCBI's taxonomy places the organism in Eukaryota, Viridiplantae, Streptophyta, Magnoliopsida, Asterales, Asteraceae. The transcript is spliced from 3 exons.
UGCCAAAUAAAUAAACCACACCACCAUCCAUUUAGGGUUAUAAAACCACGCAGCACGCAGACGGUUUCAAGAGGAGAUAACCAACCAAUUCGAUUCAGUGCCAAUGGCCCUCCUGCUGCGACGAUUACUGCGUUUCCCUUCAACUAUUCAAUCAAGAGGUUUCUGUUGCGCCCCCGUCAGCCGGCUCUCAGACGAUGACGUCAAGGUUAUCUUCGAGGCAUGGGCCGAUAAGCAUGGCAAAGUCUACGAAACCGUUAAAGAGAAGGAGAGUGGGUUUCAGUCUUUUAAAGAUAUGCUCAGCUCCUUAGACAAGGAUAACUCCACCUGCGAUUCUUCCGUCAAGUUAGGACCCACCGAGCCCUCAGAUUGGACCGGGGUUGAGUUUCGCUCGUCUUGGUCCCAGGAACCCCCCAAAAAUUAAGUGAAGCGUCCAGCUGAUGACAAGAAUUCAACAGCAGGUUGACAAACCUGCCCUGCUCCUAAAAGAAGAAUUGUGUUCCUCUUUUUUGAACCUUUAACAUAAUAUAUAUUUUGGAAACCGUUUAUUCCCCUUUGUAAACCUUUAUGAGAAUCAAGACUUAUUGGUAAUUAGAGUAAUCUUGGGCAUUAUAUAUGAACUUAAACUUCUAUAAA